Molecule: long non-coding RNA, 1467 nt
Organism: Triticum dicoccoides
Lineage: Eukaryota; Viridiplantae; Streptophyta; Magnoliopsida; Poales; Poaceae
Exons: 2
Source: RefSeq, a predicted model, not a curated record
UUGGAGAGGGCAGAGUCAGUGGAGGUGGAAUAGACUAGACUAAUCUUGUAGCGGGGUCUCCGGCCGCCUCUACCACCGAGGCGAGCACGCCCCUGCCGGCCUGCUCUGUCGUCGGUGAGCACGCGCAGCGGCCCGAAGAGGCGCGUACUCGCGGGGCAAAGUGCGCCAUCGACCCGAGGUGCCUUGGUAUAGAAUGAAGUGAAGAGAGCAGAGUAUCUUGGUCGUACUAAUCAAUUCAUCAUAUUAUGUGCGCAAUAAGAUUUUGCUAUGCUUUCACCGUCGAUGCCCACUGGUUGGAUCAUGCUUCUGUUUAUGAGCUCAUUGAAGUAACUCUCUCGUAGCUCAAAUGGGCCAAUUUCUCGUUUGCGUGGCACACAAAACCUUCAGCUAUCCAUCUCCAUACCAGUUGGUCUCUCUUAAUUUUGUAAUCUUCUGGAAAUAUGCUUACAUAUAAUAAAUGAUGCGAAGGUAGAUCAUAGAAACAUGAACACAAUUCUUAAUCUAAAGCAAGAUGGUGUAGGCUACUUUUUGUGAUUUAACACAAAUAGCAGGCACACAUGCACCAAUACUAAGAAAAUUAGCAAAGAAAAUGAGUAAAAGAGGCACUUGACUUGUAGAUUAUAAAAGAGUGAUGAUCUAGAAGUCAACCCUCUUUUACCAGUAGUUUUGAUCUACCUUCUCAUCCAUAGGAUUAGUUAUUAUAUCUAAGCAUGUUUUUAGAAGAUUAGAAGAUUAAGCAAGCUCAUUCGAUAUGUAAGGUGGAUAGUUUGAGGUUUUGUUUAUCAUGAAAAACAAGGGAUUAGCAAGUUUGAGCUCGGUGGUAGAAUUGCUUAGUGAGAUCGUGAAUAGGAGCAUGAUUCAACCAAUUGACAUCAAUGUUGAUAAAGGCAUGGAAAAAUCUUAUUGUAUACAUGAUAUGGUGAUUGAUUUCAUGGCACUGGGUGAAAGCCUUCUAUCCAAAGGCGGCAAGAUGUGAAGAUUAUCCAUCCGAAAGACCAUGACAGGUAGCAGCUAUGUCACAAUGAGGUCUGUUGCAAUUGUUGAUUGGGUGUAGCUUGUUGAGUGCUCCAAGUUCUACAUGCCCUGGAUUUAGAAUAUUGUGCUGCAUGUCUCCAUUCUUGGCAGUCACAAUGAUUCAAGAAUACUGUGUUUGCAAUGACAUGAAGCUCCUAUUGUAUUUCUACCAACUAGUGCUGAAUUAGUCAUGAGUCUCUUGGUGUAUUUGUACCCACUGAUGCUGAAUUAUAGUUGAGUCGAGAACUGUCAAAGUUCUGUGUCGGCUCCUGCAGUUAGCUCAUGAGGAACUUGUUUACCCCAUUCCUUUAUUUUGAUGCUGGCUUGUUAUACAUUGUGUCUCUUUUCUUUAUAGCAGUAGCAGCUUUUGAAGUCUUCUUGCUCUGCUCUUUGUAUGAAAUGUAAGGUAAUUGUUCUGAAAUGAUAUGUAUAUGUUGCUGUGUAUUUUUUUAA